This 426-nucleotide ribosomal RNA is filed under the name uncultured bacterium. RNAcentral's name for it is "bacterial SSU rRNA". It matches the Rfam family "Bacterial small subunit ribosomal RNA", at positions 354 to 796 of the family's 1533-position model. The record is from RNAcentral.
GUAGGGAAUAUUGCAAAAUGGGCGAAAGCCCGAUGCAGCAACGCCGCGUGGGCGAUGAAGGCCUUCGGGUCGUAAAGCCCUUUUUGAGGGGAUGAGGAAGGACAGUACCCUCAGAAUAAGCCUCGGCUAACUACGUGCCAGCAGCCGCGGUAAAACGUAGGAGGCGAGCGUUAUCCGGAUUUACUGGGCGUAAAGCGCGUGCAGGCGGACAGGAAAGUUGGAUGUGAAAGCUCCCGGCUUAACUGGGAGAGGUCGUUCAAAACUACCCGUCUAGAGGGCUAUAGAGGGAAGCGGAAUUCCGGGUGUAGUGGUGAAAUGCGUAGAUAUCCGGAGGAACACCAGUGGCGAAAGCGGCUUCCUGGGUAGCAUCUGACGCUCAGACGCGAAAGCUAGGGUAGCAAACGGGAUUAGAAACCCCGGUAGUCC